CGUAACGCGUAUGCAACCUACCCUUAGCUGGGGGAUAGCCCGGAGAAAUUCGGAUUAAUACCCCAUAGUAUCACCAGAUGGCAUCUGAAGGUGAUUAAAGAUUUAUUGGUUAAGGAUGGGCAUGCGUGACAUUAGCUAGUUGGUGAGGUAACGGCUCACCAAGGCAACGAUGUCUAGGAGUUCUGAGAGGAUGAUCCCCCCACACUGGUACUGAGAUACGGACCAG
This 226-nucleotide ribosomal RNA is filed under the name uncultured bacterium. Its description in RNAcentral is "partial 16S ribosomal RNA". It matches the Rfam family "Bacterial small subunit ribosomal RNA", at positions 109 to 334 of the family's 1533-position model. The record is from RNAcentral.